UGAGGAAUAUUGCACAAUGGGGGAAACCCUGAUGCAGCAACGCCGCGUGGAGGAUGAAGGUUCUUGGAUUGUAAACUCCUUUUCUGAGGGAAGAGAAAGGACGGUACCUCAGGAAUAAGUCACGGCUAACUACGUGCCAGCAGCCGCGGUAAUACGUAGGUGACAAGCGUUAUCCGGAAUUACUGGGCGUAAAGGGCACGCAGGCGGCUAUUCAAGUCUGAUGUGAAAUCUCCCGGCUUAACUGGGAGCGGUCGUUGGAUACUGUUUAGCUUGAGGCAAUGAGAGGGGUAUGGAAUUCCCGGUGUAGUGGUGGAAUGCGUAGAUAUCGGGAGGAACACCAGUGGCGAAAGCGGUACCCUGGCAUUGUCCUGACGCUCAUGUGCGAAAGCGUGGGUAGCGAACGGGAUUAGAUACCCCCGUAGUCC
Molecule: ribosomal RNA, 425 nt
Filed under: uncultured prokaryote
Description: bacterial SSU rRNA
Rfam family: Bacterial small subunit ribosomal RNA
Source: RNAcentral